CUGGACUAUGAACUCCACGAGGCCUUGGUCUAUUGUCUUGACUAUUGUAUCCCCUGGUACAGAGGCUGGCACAGGAAUGGCACCCCAUAAGUGUCUGUUGAAUGAACGAAGACACAGAGAGGCGGUGCACGAAGAGGGACUUCUGUGUGGCUGACUGCCCUGGAAGCAGAGGGGAUGUUUGAGCCACAAGAUGCAAGGAGCCUGGGACCCUAAAUUACCAUGAGGAGAAAGCUGCAUGCCGGCCAGGAAGCCCCACACUGGAUUGUUAUAGAGAAACAUCGGGAAUGACAACACAAUGAGAUCAUGAUAAAAGGAAGCAACUAAACCUGACAGGUCACCUCCUCCUCUCGUUCUAGCAACCCAGCCUCUCAUAAGAACAAGGAAGAGCAAAGUGACAGCUUCCAGAGCAAAGGGGAGACAUCUCGCAGCUCUGAGUAGAUAAGCUUAGUGCUGGCUUCACACGGAGGGGCAAGACUCCGGACUCCGUAGGAUAACAAAGCUUUGUUUCCAAAUCAACUGUGAAUAUGAAGACCGAAGGAGAGCUGACCCAGGGCCCAUCGCAAAAGGGUUCAGAGAGACCACAGAUCUUUGCUGGCCAAAGUAUUAAAAAUAAAACAACAAAACCAAAGACCCUUCACAAGCAACUGAAAUCACAAGAAACUGAAAUGUAAAGGAGAAUGACUUGAGUUUGUCAGUAUCGCGAGAACUGAAAGGAGAUCCGCGCUGGCUCCUGGAAGUGUAUAACCAGGUUAGGAACAGUGGAGCUGAGAUUAACUCAGAUGCCCUUCAGAGGCUCCGAAUGGAAAACCAUGUUGAAAAGCAUAAAGUGCUCUCUGAUGUGAGGCAUUCUUGGGAUGUGCGGAAAUUAUUUUCAUUUGAAGGGAAA
RNAcentral lists this long non-coding RNA (886 nucleotides) under Equus caballus (horse). Its description in RNAcentral is "lncRNA (ENSECAG00000047066.1)". The record is from RNAcentral. Lineage: Eukaryota; Metazoa; Chordata; Mammalia; Perissodactyla; Equidae.